UAAAACAUCCAAAACAGAUAAUAUAAUAGCAUGGAACAAUAAAAAAUUAUAGAUACGUUAAAGACGCAUCACGCAUCCCAAUCUUAAUUUCUACUCGUCCUCAAGUAGAUCUCUACUGUUAAAGGAGAACAUGCGGUUGUCGUGAUGGUUCCACCCCGUUCGAUCCAACGUACCAUCCCUGUGUCCCGCGCGACUCACCCAGCCUCCAAUCCCCGCUCGGAAUUAAAAACGAAAAAAGAAAAUCGGAAAGAAAAUAAUAACUACUCCCCACGAUCACACGUUCCAUGCCCUCGUCUCCCGCAACACCUUCCUGUGCACAUCCUCUCCCUGGAAAAAUUGCCGUGGCACCCACCCUCCUGUGCACGUCAUCUUCGCCAUCCCAGAUCGCGAUCCGCCGCCAGGGCUUUGCGUGGCCACUCGCCGCCCCAGAUCUCGAUCAGCCGCCAGGAGCCUUGCGUGGCCAACCCAUGCCUCCCACCAUCGUUGCCCUCCUCGUUCACAUCAUGGUUGUGGUGGCUGCGGUCCUGGUUGUACACGACGCCGCCCCACCCCAACUCUCUUUUGCUCGAUGAACCUCCAUCCGACGUCUGACACUCUUCUCCCGCUCCUAACGCAACCAUCGUCUUCAUUGUGGUGGCGCCGCCCUUCUAGAGCAGUUAAACAGUAGAGCAAGCGGGUGUGCGGGCAGGAGCUGGAGGCCGCACUGCUGUGCGUGCGAGCAGGAGGCACGCGAGGCUUGUGUAGGCAGGUGGCUAUGGGGAACGGCCCAUUCAAUUGCCGCCCUCUGCUGUCGACGUUCUCAUCUUCAAGUCCCACCCCUACCACCGUCGUACUCCCUGCAGGCAGCUCGGCCCCGAUCUCCUCCGCAAGGUGGCUCUGUGCGUGACAUCUAUCUCGCUCCCAAUGCCUUCGUUGUGUUAUUUAUUUUCCAGAUAAUGUUCAGAUAUUUAACAGGCGGAGAGUGUACUGCUGUGCCAAAACUUUCAGUUACUCUGCAGAAUGUUUGAGCUAUUGUCUAAUUGUGGAUUGUGCAGAUCCUCUCACCCACUUAAAUCCUUUUUCUGAUGAAUUGUAUUGGUUAUGCUGAAUCAUCCUGUUACAAGGGCAUAACCAAGUGGGUAAGAUCAAGCACGAACAACUUUUGUGCUCUGCGAGGUUUGCAAAUUGAACCCCGAUAUUGUGGCUUAUCCAAUAGCGCGAGUGGUUUUUUGCUAUGUAGAUUAAAACUAAAACUUGUUCAAGUGUGAAUUAAUGUAUUGAUCUCAAUUUUAUUAUUCCAGAUCUGUAGAUGCACACGAGUUGAUAUUACUAUUCCAUAACACAAGAGCUGAGAUUUCAGACAAUACGAACAGUAUGCUUCAGUACUGGAAGCAAGGGAAGUAUCUUUGGGGGGAACUCGUGUGGCUUGAAACUUGGUUGAAACACUAAAUUUGGGCCCUUACAUAUAUAGGUACAGUGAUAUGCUGCAAUGUUUAGGAAAUGUGCAUGUUGAUUAUAUGAGGUUUUGCGAUUAUGGUCUUAUAGGCUAUAGGCCAUGGAUUUUUAAUUCUCCUUGCAUGUCAAGGAUAAGACAAUGGUCUUGGUCUCGUCUUGGUUAUAUAAAAAUAAAAUAUAGGUGAAGCUUCAAAAAACUGGAGCAUACACAUACAUUUAGAAGUUGUGCUCAAAGACUUUGCUUUAUCUAGAGGAAUGUACAGUCUAUACUUGCACAAUAUUUUCUUCCAUUUUCCUUUACUGAAUUUACAAUUCACAUAAAAUUAAACUAUUAAGCAACUAUUCCCACCUUACUGUAGAUUUCCAAAAGUUGGUAUAUGCUUUUAGAAAUUUACAUAUGUUCUUACUGGCUAAUUAGAGUGCAUCAGAUGUAAUUUUUCAGUAGAUAUCACAAUUUUUAAAGAAUGGUGGGGCGCAUGACUACAACAGGCAGGAGAUCCUGCAGGGCACACAUCAACAUUUCAGGGACACCAAGGUCGUGCCGGUCGUGUUGGACAUUGACAUGAUGUUCUUGCCCUACUACACUCCAUUCAGCAGCAUGGCUACAAUUGUAGGUGGAUACAGCAAGGUUAGUAUGGCUACAAAGAUGCACUAGAGAAAUGGCCAGGCAAGCUCGCGGGGUCGAGCGUGGGAAGGCAGCCGGGGAACGGCUAUGGUUGAUUUCAAUUAGAGGUUCAGGGCGUGGGGGGCAUGGUAAAAUUCCUCCCUUCUUUUGAAAAUUCUAGGAGACAGGUCCUCUCUUUUCAGGUUUCUGAAAGUGUCAAUGCUCCUGCUUGUGUUAACAGAUUGUUUUCUUGGAGGGGAAAGCAACUCUGUUUGAAAUGAACUUGUAAGUUGUGGAGUUUCAGUGCAAUUUUCUUAUUUUGUUUUAUUUUUUAGUUGUAGUCAGCCAGAUGUAAUAUUGCAAUUCCCUUUUUAUAAUGUUGAAAUAAAGCCAUAUUUCAUAUAAA
Non-coding RNA from Aegilops tauschii subsp. strangulata, 2444 nucleotides. The record is from RefSeq and is a predicted model, not a curated record. Lineage: Eukaryota; Viridiplantae; Streptophyta; Magnoliopsida; Poales; Poaceae.